Molecule: ribosomal RNA, 165 nt
Filed under: Metabacillus arenae
Lineage: Bacteria; Bacillati; Bacillota; Bacilli; Caryophanales; Bacillaceae
Description: Bacterial small subunit ribosomal RNA
Rfam family: Bacterial small subunit ribosomal RNA
Source: Rfam by way of RNAcentral
UUAUCGGAGAGUUUGAUCCUGGCUCAGGACGAACGCUGGCGGCGUGCCUAAUACAUGCAAGUCGAGCGGACCAUUUAAAAGCUUGCUUUUGAAUGGUUAGCGGCGGACGGGUGAGUAACACGUGGGCAACCUGCCUGUAAGACUGGGAUAACUCCGGGAAACCGG